This 380-nucleotide RNase P RNA is filed under the name uncultured Psychrobium sp. Its description in RNAcentral is "Bacterial RNase P class A". It matches the Rfam family "Bacterial RNase P class A". Rfam says of the family: Ribonuclease P (RNase P) is a ubiquitous endoribonuclease, found in archaea, bacteria and eukarya as well as chloroplasts and mitochondria. Its best characterised activity is the generation of mature 5'-ends of tRNAs by cleaving the 5'-leader elements of precursor-tRNAs. Cellular RNase Ps are ribonucleoproteins. The record is from RNAcentral. Lineage: Bacteria; Pseudomonadati; Pseudomonadota; Gammaproteobacteria; Alteromonadales; Shewanellaceae.
GAGUUGGUCAGGCAAUCGCUGCGUUAACAUUAAGUUUAACGGGGAGGAAAGUCCGGGCUCCAACGAGCAGGGUGCCAGAUAACAUCUGGGGGGCGCAAGCCCACGACAAGUGCAGCAGAGAGAAGACCGCCGAUGGCGCUUUCUAUUUAUAGAAUGAGCACAGGUAAGGCUGAAAGGGUGCGGUAAGAGCGCACCGGACGACUGGUAACAGUUCGUUGCAGGGUAAACUCCACCCGGAGCAAGACCAAAUAGGGUUUCACUACUUUUCGAAGUUAAGGCGCGGCUCGCGUUGAAACCGGGUAGGUUGCUUGAGCCUGUGAGCAAUUGCAGGCCUAGACGAAUGAUUGUCCACGACAAAACCCGGCUUAUCGACCAACUCC